RNAcentral lists this transfer RNA (73 nucleotides) under Candidatus Bathyarchaeota archaeon. RNAcentral describes it as "tRNA-Cys". It matches the Rfam family "tRNA". From Rfam's summary of the family: Transfer RNA (tRNA) molecules are approximately 80 nucleotides in length. The record is from RNAcentral. Lineage: Archaea; Thermoproteati; Candidatus Bathyarchaeota.
GCCGGGUUGGCUGAGUGGUGUAGGCGGCUGCCUGCAGAGCAGCUUCACGGGGGUUCGAAUCCCUCACCCGGCU